This 117-nucleotide ribosomal RNA is filed under the name Dehalococcoidia bacterium. Lineage: Bacteria; Bacillati; Chloroflexota; Dehalococcoidia. The record is from RNAcentral.
UUUGGUGACUAGAGCGAAGCGGAACCACCCGUUCCCAUCCCGAACACGGUAGUGAAACGCUCCAGCGCAGACGAUACUCGAGGGGCAACUCUCCGGGAAAAUAUGCCGUUGCCAGGG